This 454-nucleotide ribosomal RNA is filed under the name uncultured Prevotellaceae bacterium. Its description in RNAcentral is "bacterial SSU rRNA". It matches the Rfam family "Bacterial small subunit ribosomal RNA", at positions 341 to 792 of the family's 1533-position model. Lineage: Bacteria; Pseudomonadati; Bacteroidota; Bacteroidia; Bacteroidales; Prevotellaceae. The record is from RNAcentral.
ACGGAAGGCAGCAGUGAGGAAUAUUGGUCAAUGGGCGAGAGCCUGAACCAGCCAAGUAGCGUGCAGGAUGACGGCCCUAUGGGUUGUAAACUGCUUUUAACCGGGAAUAACGUUACCUUCGUGAAGGUAAGUGCAUGUACCGGUUGAAUAAGGAUCGGCUAACUCCGUGCCAGCAGCCGCGGUAAUACGGAGGAUUCGAGCGUUAUCCGGAUUUAUUGGGUUUAAAGGGAGCGUAGGCGGGAAGUCAAGUCAGCUGUGAAAUGUAGACGCUCAACGUCUGCACUGCAGUUGAAACUGGUUUUCUUGAGUGCGUAAGAGGCAGGCGGAAUUCGUCGUGUAGCGGUGAAAUGCUUAGAUAUGACGAAGAACUCCUAUUGCGAAGGCAGCUGACUGUAGCGUAACUGACGCUGAAGCUCGAAGGUGCGGGUAUCGAACAGGAUUAGAUACCCUGGUA